RNAcentral lists this long non-coding RNA (16453 nucleotides) under Panax ginseng (ginseng). RNAcentral's name for it is "long non-coding RNA (PGIN_LNC004478)". The record is from RNAcentral. Lineage: Eukaryota; Viridiplantae; Streptophyta; Magnoliopsida; Apiales; Araliaceae.
UAUGAGCUAUGCUUAUGUUUGUUGUGACGCCCCCAAAUUCGGGUACUUGAAACCCUUAUUUAGUGCUUCACGAUAUCAAACAUUCAACAUAUAAUAAACUUAAACUUAGUAGAGUUAUUACAUCAAAGUGCUACUAAUCCCAGGUACGUAGACCUUUAAAUGUUCAUUACAUGAUAGUUUAAUAUUUACAAACAUGUAAACUAUCUAUUACAUCCAAUCCCAACUAAUCUGUUACUUUUCCUUUCCCUUUGUCUUUUCCAGACCCUUCUGCCCGAGUCUGCUCAGCUGAAAACAUUUAUGAUAAAACAAGUAUGAGCAUUUAAUUGCUCAGCAAGUAAUAGCAUUCUUUAAGGCUCAACAAGAAAUAAAUAUUUUCUUUAAAGCAUGCUUUGACAGUGAAUCAAAACUGUAAAGCAGUAAAUCUUGAAUCAUUCACAGUUAUGGAAUAUCAUAACAUUGAAUAACUGAGAGGUUUUAAGAACAUGAACAUAUUUUUCUUUUCUUGAAAAGGUUCAAUCAGAAAUAUUAUCAGAUGAACCGUCUUAUCUUACGAGCACGUAGCGUGAUAAACCAUUUAUGCCCUGUAUUGAUCAAUACUAUCUUUUCCAGAACAAUUUUCAUGUUCUACAUCACCACUCCUAGAGUGCAAUAAAAAUAUCCCAUUUAAGGGUAUGUUCAUUCUCAGUUUUAGAUUCCAACUACAACAAUAUAGCUGGACAGCUUAAAUCAUGGCAAAAUAAUAUUUCAAGACUUAUAUAAAAAAUUGAAAUAUUUUACAUCUGUGUCUGGCCAGAAGGAAUGGCUCAGGCUCCUUUGCAACCUGCUCAUGCAUAUUGAAUUUCAUUUGAUAUACAUGAUAAUACAUUACCCAAUCUAUUGAAGCUAAUUGGAAUAAAAAGAUUAUUCAAUCUUAUAAUAUUCGUAAAUAAGGAAAGACAGUUCAGAAUUUAAAGAAUCUGUCCACAUAUGAAUAAUCUCAGAAUACUUGCUCAAUAAAGAGUAAGAUUUAGAUACUUGCCUUGUUUGUAGACUAUUUGUAUAAUUUCAGCUUAACUUGUGUAUCCUCACAGAUCCUACACAAUUAUUUGUAUUCAUAGGCAUAUUAGCCAAAUAGCUAAGUCAUAUAGCUUGUAAGUUCACGUAUCACAUAUUCACAGUGAUCAUACUUUUAGUUUAUAUUCUCAUACUUGAGAUAUUUCUUUACAUUUUUCAAAUAUUUCUUUAUAUUUUUCAAAUAUCUCAUCCAUGUUCUUACUGCCUUUUCUUUCUGUUAAAGGGUCUGACAUAAUUUCUGCUCAUUGAUUUUAGUUCAUGUUUCUUUUACUUCUUCCAUUUGUCAUAAGUAUACUUUGCAAUUUUCCUUAGAAUUAGGUAUUCAAGGUGAAUACCUAAGAUAUUUUAUGUUUGAAAAGGUAACUUGAUAGCAUAUCUUAUACAUCAAAGGUAAUUUCCAUUUGUAUGGUUAUUCCUUGGUAUUUUUUUAUGAUUUACAGACUCAUUCUGAUAUGCCAUUUCGUUAAUAUUAGCUUGUAUUCUUUUACAAAACAGUCAUUAUUAUAGCUGCUAAUCAACAGCUGUUACUGAUCAUUCUAUUUGUUAUGGUUACUGGUAUCAUCUAUAUGUUGCCACCACUAAGCAGCAAAUCCCUCCUUUGCUGCCCAUCUUAUUUAAGUUAUGGUUUUAUUAUAUAUUAUGUAUAUUUUCCCUUUUUGAAAUUCAGAAGUUAAGAGUUACAAGUAAACUCUCAAAUUACAACACAUAGCAAAAAAAAUGACUUACCAAAGCAGUAAUAGCAGCUGCUCGCUGCUGCUCACUGCUGUUAUUAUACAGCAGUCCCUUUUCCCCAAUCCCUUGUUUUAAGAGAUCAAAAUUCUCACCGUUUUGGCCCAUGUGUUGUUACAUUUUGAAUAUCAAAUUGGUGGUGUACUCACCCCUUUAAGAAAAUAUUAGCCAACUGAUAUGGGUUACUACUAUUUAACAUCCAUAUGAGCAAGAAAGACCUCUUUUGUGUUGCCCAAAACAGUCACCUACUGUUGCCGUUAGGCAGCAGCCCCCCUUUCUUAACCACUACCUUGUUAAACUUUUAUUCCUUACAUUCUUGAUUUGUUUAUAUGAAGUUUUGAAAAUAAUAUAAUUGAUACUUCCACACUAAGAUAAUCUAUUGAGUCAACUGCUGCUGCCCAUAGGCAGCAGCCCUUCCAGUGCUUUGCCCAGCCUUAACCCCUACAUUAACGACCCCUUUACACUAUGUUUUGGACAUUACCCAACUGGUAUUUACACUUAUUACAGAGAAAUACCAGCUGGGCUGUUUUAGAAAUUUAUCUACACUAAAUGAGAGUCCAAGGAAGCCCCCAUCUGAUGCCAUAAACAGACAUGGCUGCCACCGUGGGCAGCAGCCCUGCUCUUAUUUAAUGCCAUUUUUUGGCAACCAUUUGGUAAAUUAGUCACAACCUUUUAUCAAAAAUAUUUACAUAAUACACCCCACCUUAAAAUAACAUGCAAUCUAUAAUCUCUACAAAUAAUAUGCAAUCAACUUGGUGGCUGCCCCAAAACAGUGAGUAAAAGUGUUUGUUAAAUUCUAGCAUUUAAGUUUAGCUUAAAAAAAAUAGUUUUCAUUCCAUUUUACAGGACACAACCCUUUACUUACCCUCAAGCAUGGUAUAUAUAUAUAACCCAUGCUUUAAUUCUAACGAAUAAGCAAUUGUUAAGCAAAACAGUUCAUUGAGGAAUUUUAUCAAACACUUUACAGGCACUGUUUCGUAACACAAGUGUCAUAGCUAUUUAUUUUCUUUAAAAAUCCCAGUUUAGUUCCCUUAUUACUCCACAACCACCUAUCUCCUUGUGCCUAAAUUAUAUACAUAGCAGUCGAUUACACAAUCACAUGAAUAAUCAAGUAGUUGACAAUCUAAUUAGCUUAUUUUCUUCAUAACAUGCAAUUCUUUUGAGAAACACAUACCUAUACUAAAUAGAAAAAUCCCACUGUUUAGCAUGCUAUCCCCGAAUGGUUACACUACUAUAUAAAAUCAAAUCGGUAGCACACCUUCCCACUCAACCCGUAGCAAUUCCCAUAACCAUUAAGUAGUGCAUAUAAAACAUUUUAAAGUAAAUAUAUAGCAAAGAUGCAUUACCUUUCUAAGCCUUGAUUUCCGAAUUAGUUGGUUGCAACCCAAACACUUCUGAGUUUCUCCCACUUGAUAGCGUAACCUUCCUUAGUUAUCAGAGCUUUCCCAAACUAACAGAACAUAAAGCGUCUACCAGAUUUUUCUUUUAACAACAAAGAGCCUAUUACUUGAACAUGAACUGGAGAAGGGUUAUAUGAUAUCUAAGUUCUGAUAUCUUUAACAGAGAUCUACACUUCAAGGAGUAUAUACGUGGUUAAUACGUUUGUAGGCUAACUGAGUUGUUAAUGCUAGGUUUCUGAUUAAAUGCCAGCUCAUGCUAAACUAAUAGAUCAUUUCCUGAUUAAAAGCCACGUAUCCCACAUUAAGCUGAGUUUUAAUUUUCUACUGUUAAGCUUUAAUUCUUAAGGCUGUGUUUGGGCAAGAAAAUAAUAAUUACCUCCCUUUCUGUACUUAUUGCACCACUUAUAACGUAUUUUAGAUAUACCAAAAUGCAUUUCAAAAUUUUGAAUAAAAUAUCUAUACAUCAUUUCCAUCAAAGUAGAGGGUAUUUAUUAAAUAUAAUAAAUAUUAAUUAUUAUACUUGACAUAUCACCACAUCACAUAUUACACUGCACAUGAUAAUAUCAUAACACAUACUGAAGUAUAUAUAUGUAAACAAAAUAUUCCAGAAAAAUCUUAUUUUAUUUACUCAAGAAAAAUGCGAUUCCCUACAUUUUCCCUCCCUUAUAAAGAUUCCGUCCUCGGAAUCGAAAAGUACAAUUACCCGAACAAAUGCGGAUAAUUCUUUUCAUUCUUUCUUCUAACUCCCACGUUGCUUCUUCAGCGCUGUAGUUUCUCCACAAUACCUUUACUGAAGGUAUUGUCUUAUUUCGCAAAAUUUGUUCUUUCCUAUCCAAUAUUUGCACAGGAACCUCUUCGUAGGUUAAAUCUUUCUCAAAUUGGAUAGGCUCAUAUUCAAUCACAUGUUUAUAAUCUGGCUUGUAUGGUCGUAAAACUGACACGUGAAACACGUUAUGAACAUGCUCUAGCUCCGGAGGUAAAGCUACUUCAUAAGCUAUCUCUCCCACUUUUCUCAAAACUUCAAACGGUCGUAUAAAACGAGGACUUAACUUUCCCUUCUUUCCGAAACGUAUUUUCCCUUUUCAAGGAGAUACUUUCAGAAACACAUGCGAUCCGACUUCAAAAUCUCUUUUCUGUCUGUGCAAAUCUACAUACUUCUUCUGGUGAUCUUGAGAAGUUAUUAAUCGCAUUCGUAUCAACUUAACUACUUCUGCAGUUUGUUGUACUAGUUCGGGACCUAGUAGACGACGUUCGCCCACUUCAUCACAACACAAGGGUGUUCUGCAUUUUCUUCCAUACAAUGCUUCAUAAGGCGGCAUGCCUAUACUAGCGUGAUAGUUGUUGUUACUUGUGUAUCCUCACAGAUCCUACACAAUUAUUUGUAUUCAUAGGCAUAUUAGCCAAAUAGAUAAGUCAUAUAUCUUGUAAGUUCACGUAUCACAUAAUCACAGUGAUCAUACUUUUAGUUUAUAUUCUCAUACUUGAGAUAUUUCUUUACAUUUUCAAAUAUCUCAUCCAUGUUCUUACAAUCGCCUUUUCUUUCUGUUAAAGGGUCUGACAUAAUUUCUGCUCAUUGAUUUUAGUUCAUGUUUCUUUUACUUCUUCCAUUUGUCAUAAGUAUACUUUGCAAUUUUCCUUAGAAUUAGGUAUUCAAGGUGAAUACCUAAGAUAUUUCAUGUUUCACAAGGUAACUUGAUAGCAUAUCUUAUACAUCAAAGGUAAUUUCCAUUUGUAUGGUUAUUCCUUGGUAUUUUUUUAUGAUUUACAGACUCAUUCUGAUAUGCCAUUUCAUUAAUAUUAGCUUGUAUUCUUUUACAAAACAGUAAUUAUUAUAGCUGCUAAUCAACAGCUGUUACUGAUCAUUCUAUUUGUUAUGGUUACUGAUAUCAUCUAUAUGUUGCCACCACUAAGCAGCCACCACUAAGCAGUAAAUCCCUCCUUUGCUGCCCAUCUUAUUUAAGUUAAGGUUUUAUUAUAUAUUAUGUAUAUUUUCCCUUUUUGAAAUUCAGAAGUUAAGAGUUACAAGUAAACUCUAAAAUUACAACACAUAGCAAAAAAAAUGACUUACCAAAGCAGUAAUAGCAGCUGCUCGCUGCUGCUCACUACUGUUAUUAUACAGCAGUCCCUUUUCCCCAAUCCCUUGUUUUAAGAGAUCAAAAUUCUCACCGUUUUGGCCCAUGUGUUGUUACAUUUUGAAUAUCACAAUGUGAACAUUCUUUUGUUUUACUGUUUACAUAGUGCAAGGUUGUAAAUUAUGAUGUUAUAUAUUCUUCUUUUCUGUUAUUUAUGAUGAUUAACUAUGUCUCUCCUCUGUUUUCUUGUUCUUUUGGUUGUGGCAAGUGAUACCCAGAACACAAUUUUGUUUGUUUUCUCUAUGAUUGUUGUUUGCUUCUAUUUCUUGUUGUUCAUGUUUACAUCAGUGCGUUGUGGCACUUGGCUAGUGUUCUUCUUCUUUUUUAAAUCAGAUCAUACUACUUGUAUUAAUGGUUUAAGGUGGGGAUUGGAUAGAUUUGUUCCCCUUUGUAAGUCUUGUACCACAUUCUGCAUAGAAAUGAAAGAGGUGUUGAUUCAUUCUUUAACACUGAGCUCACUUUUUAUUCCUUUUGUCAUGGCAUCUCCUAUUCCUAGAUAGUCCCUCCGUUUUGGGGGGGAAAAAGAGACCUCAUUUGCAAAAUAUAUAAAUAUUACUGUAUUUUUAGUACUGCUAACCUGAUAAUGAAAUUAGGAAAAAUAAUUUGAGGAAUUCUGUAUUUUUUUAAACCUUUAGUUUUUGGGGUGGAGGGAGUAUCAAGUUAUUCAACUAAUACUCUUAGAAAAAGAGUCGGUUUUUUUCUUCUUGUUUUUCAAUUUCAUCUAAAACAGCCCCACUUCCUUUGUAUUUUUUUCUCAACAUACAAAGAACUUAUAAAGACAUAAAGAGACAACACAUAAAGACCAUGCUCUCCUUUUUACAGUCUUACUUAGUGAGUUCAGAUUUGAAAUUUGAAGGUUUGAGGUUUAUGCUUUAAUUAUUGUAUGUACAGAAACCUUUGUUGAUAUAACCAAUGAAGGGGUUUUAAUUUUAAAAUUGCAUAUUCUUAAUUUUGUUCUCUUUGCUUGGAAGGUACAUCAAUAUGGAUUCUCAAAUUGAUAAUGCAAGCAUGGAUAAGCCAAAAGUUAGAAAGGCAGAAAAUUAUACUGUAGCGGAAGACCUCAUUAUAAUUGCGGCAUGGGAGCAUACUAGUGAGGAUGUGGUGAUUGGAACUGACCAAGCCAAAGAACAAUAUUGGACUAGAGUAUGGAGAGAGUACUUGUCGAAUGCAAGCAGCUAUCCAUAUCGACCAGAGAAAUCAAUAAUCAACCGAUUCAGCAUUAUCAGGACUAAAUGCUUGAAGUUUUCUGGGAUUGUUCAAAGCAUUGAGUAUGCGAAUCCGAGUGGAAUGACUGACCAAGACAAGGUAAAAUUUCCUUUAUUAUAAUAAUCACUUUAAUAUAUAAAUGAUAGUUUCAUAUUUAUUAUUUUGACAUAUUGCACAAUAUUUUUAUAGCUUAAUCAAGCCAUUAAAACAUGGUCUUCAGAGGAGAAGGAAAAAGGUGUUUUCAAGUUUUUACACUUAUCAAGUGCUCAAGAAUUCUCCAAAGUGGAUUACAGAAGUGGUGCACCCCAAUUUGAGCCGAAGUGUAGCUGCAUCAGAUUCGAUCAAUUUAGGAGACGAUGCGAGUGCCUCUGGUCAUGUAGAAAUGGAAAGGCCAAUUGGUAAGAAGGCCGGUAAAGAGCGACGGAAGAACAAAAAAAUGAAGGUGGAAGAUAGUGAAGAGUCUCAAACCAGCAUUCAUUUCGAAAAGUCACAAGAUUUAAUGCAAAAAUUUCAUGAUCAGAAGAUGGAUGUCAUUUUCCAGGAUAGCAAAAAAAUGGAUGAAUAUCUACAGUUGAAGAGGGAGAAACUUGAACUUGAUAGGGAGCAUAAAGAGGAGAAGGUUAUGACUAUUGACAUGUCUAGCUUGAAUGAGAUGCAGCGAAAGUACAUUGAAAUGAAACAAGCAAAGAUCUUUGAAAGAGCGUUUAACAAGUAGACGAUUUAGUUGUCCUAUCUAACUUUCUAUGGACUUGUAGCAAUUUUAGUGUGUUUCUGUUUCUUUAGGUUUACUAAAAUUUCAAUAUCUCUCGACUUGUAUUUUUUGAAGUUUGUUUGGACUUAUGGUAAUUGAAGUUUCUUUGGACUUAUUUUAACCUACAAUUACUUUACGAAAUUUUAUUAUGAUAUUAUAUAAAUGCUUGACAUUAUAUUUAAACAAAAAACUUGAACUUGACAUUACAUUCAAAAAUUCAAACAGAACAAUAGAACUUAAACAUUUAUUAUAUAAGCAGAAACACAAUUACUCAACAUUUUCGUGCCUUUCCCAUAGAUGCUCAAUUAAGUCUUCUUGAAGACGACGAUGCAUAAUUUUAUCUUGUAACUUUUCACGUCCCGCAAUGAAUUGGUUAUAAUCAAAGUGUUCAUACCCGCAAUCGACUAUUGGAGAGGAAAUUUCUUCAAAUAAAUAAUAGUUACCUUUCUCCAAUGACUUGUAUAGGUCACGCUCGUCUUCUACAAUCAUGUUAUGCAUUAUAAUGCAUGCCUUCAUGAUAUUCUUCAAUGUUGCUAACCUAAAAUACCUGCAAGGUUGCCGAAUUAUAUGAAAACGUGAUUGGAGAACUCCAAAUGCACGUUCCACAUCUUUCCGUGUAGACUCUUGAGCACUUGCAUAAUUUUUUGCCUUUUGAGUUUGUGGCAUUUGGAUUGUUUUUGCAAUAGUAGGACCAUUUUGGAUAGAUACCAUCCGCCAAAUAAUAUCCCGUAUCGUAUUGAUGAUUAUUGAUGAUAAAGUUCACUGACGGAGCACGACCAUUAAUAACAUCUGCAAAGAUAGGAGAACGUUCAAGAACAUUGAUGUCAUUGAGUGAACCUGGAAGGCCGAAGAAAGUAUGCCAUAUCCAAAGAUCACGUGAGGCCACUGCCUCUAAUAUUACUGUUGCAUCACCACAAUGGCCCGAGUAGUGACCCUUCCAUCCACUUGGACAAUUUUUCCAUGUCCAAUGCAUACAAUCAAUGCUGCCAAGCAUUCCUGGGAAUCCACGCUCCUCAUGUAGUAAAAAUAACCUACUUACAUCGUUGGCAGUAGGUGACCUCAAGUAUUAAUCACCAAAAAUAUUAAUCACUGCUUCAACAAAUUUUUUCAUUGCCUCAUUUGCUGUGCUUUCUGCAAGCCGAAGAUACUCAUCCACCAAAUCACCAGAAACUCCAUAACACAACAUUCUGAGUGCUGCAGUAACUUUUUGUAAUGAAGAUAAGCCCUCUGUGCGUGCAGCAUUUCGACGUUGCACAAAAUAUUCAUCAUAAGCCAAAACAGCAUCAUGAAUGCGGAGGAAUAAAUUACGACUCAUGCGAAAUCGUCUUCGAAAUAGUCUGUGAGGAAAUGUCGGGGUUGGGGAGAAGUAAUCUCGUACCAAGUUUUCAUGGCCCGUCUUACGAUCACGAUCGAUGUAAACAUGACCGAGAACAGAACCUCGAUGUGUCUUCGCUUUGCCUUUUCUCUCUGAAAUUUCUCCUUCCAUGGUUAAACAAUUUUCAUGCAGAACCUCUUGUUCAGUAGAGUCAAGUUAAAGAUGUUGAUGCCUUCUUCGAAAAAACUGAAACAUUUAUGAUGUUAGAAGUAGGAGAAGAAUGCUAAAUUGAAAUGACCGUUGCACUUUUUGAUUUCUAGCAACAUCUAUUUUUAAAUUAAAAUAAUAGCAUUUUUUAAAUUCAAACAUCAAUUAUUUUUAACUAAAAAAUAGUUACAACGGUCAAAACAUGUUUUAAUUGUUGGAACUUUCAAAUUUUAAAUUUUAAAUUUUAAAUUUUAUUAUUUAAGGAAUCAAUAUAAGGAAUCUGUUGGGUACAUACUGAAAAAAUUAAAUCCCUAUCCUGCAGAAUGACCCAAUAGCACUGCAGAGUAGGGAUAAAGAUAAGGAAACUGUUGUAAAUGCUCUAAGCCUUGAUUUCCGAAUUAGUUGGUUGCAACCCAAACACUUCUGAGUUUCUCCCACUUGAUAGCGUAACCUUCCUUAGUUAUCAGAGCUUUCCCAAACUAACAGAACAUAAAGCGUCUACCAGAUUUUUCUUUUAACAACAAAGAGCCUAUUACUUGAACAUGAACUGGAGAAGGGUUAUAUGAUAUCUAAGUUCUGAUAUCUUUAACAGAGAUCUACACUUAAAGGAGUAUAUAUGUGGUUAAUACGUUUGUAGGCUAACUGAGUUGUUAAUGCUAGGUUUCUGAUUAAAUGCUAGCUCAUGCUAAACUAAUAGAUCAUUUCCUGAUUAAAAGCCACGUAUCCCACAUUAAGCUGAGUUUUAAUUUUCUACUGUUAAGCUUUAAUUCUUAAGGCUGUGUUUGGGCAAGAAAAUAACAAUUACCUCCCUUUCUGUACUUAUUGCACCACUUAUAACGUAUUUUAGAUAUACCAAAAUGCAUUUCAAAAUUUUGAAUAAAAUAUCCAUACAUCAUUUCCAUCAAAGUAGAGGGUAUUUAUUAAAUAUAAUAAAUAUUAAUUAUUAUACUUAACAUAUCACCACAUCACAUAUUACACUACAUCACAUAUUACACUGCACAUGAUAAUAUCAUAACACAUACUGAAGUAUAUAUAUGUAAACAAAAUAUUCUAGAAAAAUCUUAUUUUAUUUACUCAAGAAAAAUGCGAUUCCCUACAUUUUCCCUCCCUUAUAAAGAUUUCGUCCUCGGAAUCGAAAAGUACAAUUACCCGAACAAAUGCGGAUAAUUCUUUUUCAUUCUUUCUUCUAACUCCCACGUUGCUUCUUCAGCGUUGUGGUUUCUCCACAAUACCUUUACUGAAAGUAUUGUCUUAUUUCGCAAAAUUUGUUCUUUCCUAUCCAAUAUUUGCACAGGAACCUCUUCGUAGGUUAAAUCUUUCUCAAAUUGGAUAGGCUCAUAUUCAAUCACAUGUUUAUAAUUUGGCUUGUAUGGUCGUAAAACUGACACGUGAAACACAUUAUGAACAUGCUCUAGCUCCGGGGGUAAAGCUACUUCAUAAGUUACCUCUCCCACUUUUCUCAAAACUUCAAACGGUCCUAUAAAACGAGAACUUAACUUUCCCUUCUUUCCGAAACGUAUCUUCCCUUUCCAGGGAGAUACUUUCAGAAACACAUGCGAUCCGACUUCAAAAUCUCUUUUCUGUCUGUGCAAAUCUGCAUACUUCUUCUGGCGAUCUUGAGCAGUUAUUAAUCGCAUUCGUAUCAACUUAACUACUUCUGCAGUUUGUUGUACUAGUUCGGGACCUAGUAGACGACGUUCGCCCACUUCAUCCUAACACAAGGGUGUUCUGUAUUUUCUUCCAUACAAUGCUUCAUAAGGCGGCAUGCCUAUACUAGCGUGAUAGCUGUUGUUACUUGUGUAUCCUCACAGAUCCUACACAAUUAUUUGUAUUCACAAGCAUAUUAGCCAAAUAGCUAAGUCAUAUAGCUUGUAAGUUCACGUAUCACAUAAUCACAGUGAUCAUACUUUGUUUAUAUUCUCAUACUUGAGAUAUUUCUUUACAUUUUCAAAUAUCUCAUCCAAUGUUCUUACAAUCGCCUUUUCUUUCUGUUAAAGGGUUUGACAUAAUUUUUGCUCAUUGAUUUUAGUUCAUGUUUCUUUUACUUCUUCCAUUUGUCAUAAGUAUACUUUGCAAUUUUCCUUAGAAUUAGGUAUUCAAGGUGAAUACCUAAGAUAUUUCAUGUUUCACAAGGUAACUUGAUAGCAUAUCUUAUACAUCAAAGGUAAUUUCCAUUUGUAUGGUUAUUCCUUGGUAUUUUUUUAUGAUUUACAGACUCAUUCUGAUAUGCCAUUUUGUUAAUAUUAGCUUGUAUUCUUUUACAAAACAGUCAUUAUUAUAGCUGCUAAUCAACAGCUGUUACUGAUCAUUCUAUUUGUUAUGGUUACUGGUAUCAUCUAUAUGUUGCCACCACUAAGCAGUAAAUCCCUCCUUUGCUGCCCAUCUUAUUUAAGUUAUGGUUUUAUUAUAUAUUAUGUAUAUUUUCCCUUUUUGAAAUUCAGAAGUUAAGAGUUACAAGUAAACUCUCAAAUUACAACACAUAGCAAAAAAAAAUGACUUACCAAAGCAGUAAUAGCAGCUGCUCGCUGCUGCUCACUGCUGUUAUUAUACAGCAGUCCCUUUUCCCCAAUCCCUUGUUUUAAGAGAUCAAAAUUCUCACCGUUUUGGCCCAUGUGUUGUUACAUUUUGAAUAUCAAAUUGGUGGUGUACUCACCCCUUUAAGAAAAUAUUAGCCAACUGAUAUGGGUUACUACUAUUUAACAUCCAUAAGAGCAAGAAGACCUCUUUUGUGUUGCCCAAAACAGUCACCUACUGUUGCCGUUAGGCAGCAGCCCCCCUUUCUUAACCACUACCUUGUUAAACUUUUAUUCCUUACAUUCUUGAUUUGUUUAUAUGAAGUUUUGAAAAUAAUAUAAUUGAUACUUCCACACUAAGAUAAUCUAUUGAGUCAACUGCUGCUGCCCAUAGGCAGCAGCCCUUCCAGUGCUUUGCCCAGCCUUAACCCCUACAUUAACGACCCCUUUACACUAUGUUUUGGACAUUACCCAACUGGUAUUUACACUUAUUACAGAGAAAUACCAGCUGGGCUGUUUUAGAAAUUUAUCUACACUAAAUGAGAGUCCAAGGAAGCCCCCAUCUGAUGCCAUAAACAGACAUGCAUAAACAGACAUAGCUGCCACCGUGGGCAGCAGCCCUACUCUUAUUUAAUGCCAUUUUUGGCAACCAUUUGGUAAAUUAGUCACAACCUUUUAUCAAAAAUAUUUACAUAAUACACCCCACCUUAAAAUAACAUGCAAUCUAUAAUCUCUACAAAUAAUAUGCAAUCAACUUGGUGGCUGCCCCAAAACAGUGAGUAAAAGUGUGUUAAAUUCUAGCAUUUAAGUUUAGCUUAAAAAAAAUAGUUUUCAUUCCAUUUUACAAGACACAACCCUUUACUUACCCUCAAGCAUGGUAUAUAUAUAUAACCCAUGCUUUAAUUCUAACGAAUAAGCAAUUGUUAAGCAAAACAGUUCAUUGAGGAAUUUUAUCAAACACUUUACAGGCACUGUUUUGUAACACAAAUGUCAUAGCUAUUUAUUUUCUUUAAAAAUACCAGUUUAGUUCCCUUAUUACUCCACAGCCACCUAUCUCCUUGUGCCUAAAUUAUAUACAUAGCAGUUGAUUACACAAUCACAUGAAUAAUCAAGUAGUUGACAAUCUAAUUAGCUUAUUUUCUUCAUAACAUGCAAUUCUUUUGAGAAACACAUACCUAUACUAAAUAGAAAAAUCCCACUGUUUAGCAUGCUAUCCCCGAAUGGUUACACUACUAUAUAAAAUCAAAUCGGUAGCACACCUUCCCACUCAACCCGUAGCAAUUCCCAUAACCAUUAAGUAGUGCAUAUAAAACAUUUUAAAGUAAAUAUAUAGCAAAGAUGCAUUACCUUUCUAAGCCUUGAUUUCCGAAUUAGUUGGUUGCAACCCAAACACUUCUGAGUUUCUCCCACUUGAUAGCGUAACCUUCCUUAGUUAUCAGAGUUUUCCCAAACUAACAGAACAUAAAGCGUCUACCAGAUUUUUCUUUUAACAACAAAGAGCCUAUUACUUGAACAUGAACUGGAGAAGGGUUAUAUGAUAUCUAAGUUCUGAUAUCUUUAAUAGUGAUCUACACUUAAAGGAGUAUAUACGUGGUAAAUACGUUUGUAGGCUAACUGAGUUGUUAAUGCUAGGUUUCUGAUUAAAUGCCAGCUCAUGCUAAACUAAUAGAUCAUUUCCUGAUUAAAAGCCACGUAUCCCACAUUAAGCUGAGUUUUAAUUUUCUACUGUUAAGCUUUAAUUCUUAAGGCUGUGUUUGGGCAAGAAAAUAACAAUUACCUCCCUUUCUGUACUUAUUGCACCACUUAUAACGUAUUUUAGAUAUACCAAAAUGCAUUUCAAAAUUUUGAAUAAAAUAUCCAUACAUCAUUUCCAUCAAAGUAGAGGGUAUUUAUUAAAUAUAAUAAAUAUUAAUUAUUAUACUUGACAUAUAUGUAAACAAAAUAUUCCUGAAAAAUCUUAUUUUAUUUACUCAAGAAAAAUGCGAUUCGCUACAUUUUCCCUCUCUUAUAAAGAUUCCGUCCUCGGAAUCGAAAAGUACAAUUACCCGAACAAAUGCGGAUAAUUCUUUUUCAUUCUUUCUUCUAACUCCCACGUUGCUUCUUCAGCGUAGUGGUUUCUCCACAAUACCUUUACGGAAGGUAUUGUCUUAUUUCGCAAAAUUUGUUCUUUCCUAUCCAAUAUUUGCACAGGAACCUCUUCGUAGGUUAAAUCUUUCUCAAAUUGGAUAGGCUCAUAUUCAAUCACAUGUUUAUAAUCUGGCUUGUAUGGUCGUAAAACUGACACGUGAAACACGUUAUGAACAUGCUCUAGCUCCGGAGGUAAAGCUACUUCAUAAGCUACCUCUCCCACUUUUCUCAAAACUUCAAACGAUCCUAUAAAACGAGGACUUAACUUUCCCUUCUUUCCGAAACGUAUUUUCCCUUUUCAAGGAGAUACUUUCAGAAACACAUGCGAUCCGACUUCAAAAUCUCUUUUCUGUCUGUGCAAAUCUACAUACUUUUUCUGGUGAUCUUGAGCAGUUAUUAAUCGCAUUCGUAUCAACUUAACUACUUCUGUAGUUUGUUGUACUAGUUCGGGACCUAGUAGACGACGUUCGCCCACUUCAUCACAACACAAGGGUGUUCUGCAUUUUUUUCCAUACAAUGCUUCAUAAGGCGGCAUGCCUAUACUAGCGUGAUAGUUGUUGUUACUUGUGUAUCCUCACAGAUCCUACACAAUUAUUUGUAUUCACAGGCAUAUUAGCCAAAUAGAUAAGUCAUAUAUCUUGUAAGUUCACGUAUCACAUAAUCACAGUGAUCAUACUUUUAGUUUAUAUUCUCAUACUUGAGAUAUUUCUUUACAUUUUUCAAAUAUCUCAUCCAUGUUCUUACAAUCGCCUUUUCUUUCUGUUAAAGGGUCUGACAUAAUUUCUGCUCAUUGAUUUUAGUUCAUGUUUCUUUUACUUCUCCCAUUUGUCAUAAGUAUAUUGCAAUUUUCCUUAAAAUUAGGUAUUCAAGGUGAAUACCUAAGAUAUUUCAUGUUUCACAAGGUAACUUGAUAGCAUAUCUUAUACAUCAAAGGUAAUUUCCAUUUGUAUGGUUAUUCCUUGGUAUUUUUUUAUGAUUUACAGACUCAUUCUGAUAUGCCAUUUCGUUAAUAUUAGCUUGUAUUCUUUUACAAAACAGUCAUUAUUAUAGCUGCUAAUCAACAGCUGUUACUGAUCAUUCUAUUUGUUAUGGUUACUGAUAUCAUCUAUAUGUUGCCACCACUAAGCAGUAAAUCCCUCCUUUGCUGCCCAUCUUAUUUAAGUUAUGGUUUUAUUAUAUAUUAUGUAUAUUUUCCCUUUUUGAAAUUCAGAAGUUAAGAGUUACAAGUAAACUCUCAAAUUACAACACAUAGCAAAAAAAAUGACUUACCAAAGCAGUAAUAGCAGCUGCUCGCUGCUGCUCACUGCUGUUAUUAUACAGCAGUCCCUUUUCCCCAAUCCCUUGUUUUAAGAGAUCAAAAUUCUCACUGUUUUGGCCCAUGUGUUGUUACAUUUUGAAAAUCAAAUUGGUGGUGUACUCACCCCUUUAAGAAAAUAUUAGCCAACUGAUAUGGGUUACUACUAUUUAUUAUCCAUAAGAGCAAGAUAGACCUCUUUUGUGUUGCCCAAAACAGUCACCUACUGUUGCCGUUAGGCAGCAGCCCCCCUUUCUUAACCACUACCUUGUUAAACUUUUAUUCCUUACAUUCUUGAUUCGUUUAUAUGAAGUUUUGAAAAUAAUAUAAUUGAUACUUCCACACUAAGAUAAUCUAUUGAAUCAACUGCUGCUGCCCAUAGGCAGCAGCCCUUCCAGUGCUUUGCCCAGCCUUAACCCCUACAUUAACGACCCCUUUACACUAUGUUUUGGACAUUACCCAACUGGUAUUUACACUUAUUACAGAGCAAUACCAGCUGGGCUGUUUUAGAAAUUUAUCUACACUAAAUGAGAGUCCAAGGAAGCCUCCAUCUGAUGCCAUAAACAGACAUGGCUGCCGCCAUGGGCAGCAGCCCUGCUCUUAUUUAAUGCCAUUUUUGGCAACCAUUUGGUAAAUUAGUCACAACCUUUUAUCAAAAAUAUUUACAUAAUACACCCCACCUUAAAAUAACAUGCAAUCUAUAAUCUCUACAAAUAAUAUGCAAUCAACUUGGUGGCUGCCCCAAAACAGUGAGUAAAAGUGUUUGUCAAGCUAAAUUCUAGCAUUUAAGUUUAGCUUAAAAAAAAUAGUUUUCAUUCCAUUUUACAACAACCCUUUACUUACCCUCAAGCAUGGUAUAUAUAUAUAACCCAUGCUUUAAUUCUAACGAAUAAGCAAUUGUUAAGCAAAACAGUUCAUUGAUGAAUUUUAUCAAACACUUUACAGGCACUGUUUUGUAACACAAGUGUCAUAGCUAUUUAUUUUCUUUAAAAAUCCCAGUUUAGUUCCCUUAUUACUCCACAGCCACCUAUCUCCUUGUGCCUAAAUUAUAUACAUAGCAGUUGAUUACACAAUCACAUGAAUAAUCAAGUAGUUGACAAUCUAAUUAGCUUAUUUUCUUCAUAACAUGCAAUUCUUUUGAGAAACACAUACCUAUACUAAAUAGAAAAAUUCCACUGUUUAGCAUGCUAUCCCCGAAUGGUUACACUACUUUAUAAAAUCAAAUCGGUAGCACACCUUCCCACUCAACCCGUAGCAAUUCCCAUAACCAUUAAGUAGUGCAUAUAAAACAUUUUAAAGUAAAUAUAUAGCAAAGAUGCAUUACCUUUCUAAGCCUUGAUUUCCGAAUUAGUUGGUUGCAACCCAAACACUUCUGAGUUUCUCCCACUUGAUAGCGUAACCUUCCUUAGUUAUCAGAGCUUUCCCAAACUAACAGAACAUAAAGCGUCUACCAGAUUUUUCUUUUAACAACAAAGAGCCUAUUACUUGAACAUGAACUGGAGAAGGGUUAUAUGAUAUCUAAGUUCUGAUAUCUUUAACAGAGAUCUACGCUUAAAGGAGUAUAUACUUGUAAUACGUUUGUAGGCUAACUGAGUUGUUAAUGCUAGGUUUCUGAUUAAAUGCCAGCUUAUGCUAAACUAAUAGAUCAUUUCCUGAUUAAAAGUCACGUAUCCCACGUUAAGCUGAGUUUUAAUUUUCUACUGUUAAGCUUUAAUUCUUAAGGCCG